This is a non-coding RNA of Pelobates cultripes (western spadefoot toad), 208 nucleotides long. NCBI's taxonomy places the organism in Eukaryota, Metazoa, Chordata, Amphibia, Anura, Pelobatidae. The record is from the annotation of a GenBank genome assembly.
GGUGGGGUCAGCUGUGCUGAGAUCGUCAUGGAGUUGAAAAAAUGUGAGUAUAAACACCAUUCCAUUUGAGGGGGGGCAGUUACCUAAACAGACGCACACACUAACAGACACAAACACUCACUGAUUUGACACACACACUCACAGACCCACACAUGGUCACUGACAGACACCCAUUCACUUUCAGACAUACACACGCACUUACUGACAG